RNAcentral lists this transfer RNA (76 nucleotides) under Actinoallomurus iriomotensis. It matches the Rfam family "tRNA". Rfam says of the family: Transfer RNA (tRNA) molecules are approximately 80 nucleotides in length. RNAcentral also lists the same sequence under 8 other names. The record is from Rfam by way of RNAcentral. Lineage: Bacteria; Bacillati; Actinomycetota; Actinomycetes; Streptosporangiales; Thermomonosporaceae.
GGGGCCGUAGUCCAAUCAGGCAGGAGACACGCGACUUAGGAUCGCGCCAGUGUGGGUUCGAAUCCCACCGGCCCCA